This 49-nucleotide ribosomal RNA is filed under the name Styphelia geniculata. RNAcentral's name for it is "Styphelia sp. CPL-2019 partial 28S ribosomal RNA". Lineage: Eukaryota; Viridiplantae; Streptophyta; Magnoliopsida; Ericales; Ericaceae. The record is from RNAcentral.
GAUUGCGACCCCAGGUUAGGUGGGAUUACCCGCUGAGUUUAAGCAUAUC